RNAcentral lists this small RNA (883 nucleotides) under Pongo abelii (Sumatran orangutan). RNAcentral's name for it is "retained intron". Lineage: Eukaryota; Metazoa; Chordata; Mammalia; Primates; Hominidae. The record is from RNAcentral.
GGCAUUUUCCAGGGCCUGCACCAAAUCAGGAAGCUCCUAGUCUGUGCCUCAAGAUCACGCCUCAUUUGGAGGUCACACGAGGCCUGGCUGGUGGGUCCUACCAGGGCACUGGAUCUGGAGAGUGGAGGAAGCACUGGGUGCCGGGGUUUGGACUCGGGCCCAUGUACACCUCCUCCUACCCCCCCCCCCCGCAGCUGUCCCCUAGAAGCCGCCUUUGCCCACCCCCACCCCACCCCAGCUCAAUAAUCUGCUUCUUCUAGCAGGAAGGAAAUCAUCUCUUCCCUCUGUAGCCCCCACUGGGAGCGCCUCAGCUGCUGAGGAUGGUGAUCUGCUGGCUCAGCCUUGGUACUCGGGGAACUGUGACCGCCAUGCUGUUGAGAGUGCCCUGCUCCACUUACAAAAGGAUGGGGCCUAUACCGUGCGCCCCAGCUCAGGGCCUCAUGGCUCCCAGCCCUUCACCCUGGCAGUGCUUCUCCGAGGCCGGGUCUUCAACAUUCCCAUCCGGCGGCUGGAUGGCGGAUGCCACUAUGCCCUGGGCCGGGAGGGCAGGAACCAUGAGGAGCUCUUCUGCUCCGUGGCCGCCAUGGUCCAGCACUUCACACAGCACCCUCUGCCCCUUGUGGACAGACACAGUGGCAGCCGUGAACUCACCUGCCUGCUCUUCCCUGCCAAGCCUUGAGGCCACAGCGAAGAAUGCAGGUGUCCCCCAGUUUACUAGGUCCUGGAUGAAGGAACCGUGGUGGCCUAGACCAGUCAGGGGACAGCACAGGCACUGCCAGAACAGCAAAGGAUCCUCUCACAUCUACUUGUGGGCCUAGGGCACCCUGAGAAGGACUGGCCUGCCUUGCACAAGUUUGCUUUCAAUAAACAUUUGUUGAAUGAA